CAACCGUCGAGCUCUGCUUGGUGUUGGGCCUCCGUCCCUACGUGGAUGGGCCUCAAAGUCAUCGGCGGCUGAGCGAACGGCUUCUAGCGUAGUAGAAAUUAACUCGCUGGGAGGGCCGACCUCAGGUAGCUGUCAAAUACGUGCCCCGCGCACAUCCAAGG
This 161-nucleotide unclassified non-coding RNA is filed under the name uncultured Dothideomycetes. Its description in RNAcentral is "sequence contains ITS2". Lineage: Eukaryota; Fungi; Ascomycota; Dothideomycetes. The record is from RNAcentral.